GAGAGCUCAUUGGCCCCUUCCAAAGUAUGGGGAUACAGCAGGAAGUUGCCAUCUAUGAGCCAGAAGGGUGAACCUCACCCCAGAUGCUGAAUCUGCCUUGAUAUUGGACUUCCCAGCCUGCACAACUGACAAACUGGAAACACAGGUUAUAUCACCAAGGCUUUGACUGAAACAUCAUGUUUUCAGAUAUGACCAGAAGGCUUUAGGGGACUAAAGUUGGCUUUAUGGAACCAAUAAAGUACCAUCUUGGAAAAACUGGCUCUAGGGUUCCCAGACUUACAGUUCUGUUUCAUCAAAUGGAAAUGGGACAUGGACAGUUUCUCCUAUCCCAUGCAGACCAUGCUCCUGAAUUAAAACUGCAGAAUGUGUUAAAGCAUCAUUCAACAUCGUGAGCACAUUUGAGAUACUGUACAGGACAACCUGCUUUUCAUAUUCUCUGUGAAUUUCAAAGACGACUGGGAUUUUCUUCCUCCUCUACCACCCUGAACAGCAAGACCAAUACAUCCUGUAUUUCCUCCUCUUCAGCCUACUUGUGAAGACAAGGAUGAAGACCUCCAUGAUGAGCCAUCUCCACUUAAUGACUGUCUCACAUUGGCCGGCAACUUGUUCCAGUUUGUGUCUUCCAGAUUACAAUAAUUCCAUGUAAAGAUGAUGCUGGCACAAGGCUUUCAACCCAUCCCCUCUUCUGACCCAGAAGAUAAAGACAUCCUACCUUUGAGCCUUUUAGAACAGGUAUCCAGGGAUUUUACCUCUCCAGUGCUAGGCAGGGUCUAUGCCCAUAACAUCAGCAGGAAGCAGUUACAGAAGAUGAACCUCCGCCCUUCUGCAAGCCCCUUAAGAUUAAGGAGGAGUAUAUAAUCUCUGAUGGGGAAAUGAGGUAGGAGACCAGAAGGACUUAUUUUCCAUUCCCAACCCCAUUGAACAGAGCAGGAUCUGGUCAAAACAGGGUGCAGUGGAGAAGCCUGCUGAAACCAGCAGAUGAUGAUGAAAGUGACCUCUAGUUGCCCUCACUGCUUAUGAGCAUAAAGACACUACCACUGGGACCAUGGCCAGUUUACAAAUGUCAUGGCAACACACCUUGGCAAUGGCCUGGAAGUUACUUUAUAUGGUUCUGGAAACUCCCUGCCCCUUUCCCAGAAAGUUCUGAAUAACCUACCUCUUAAUUGGCAUGCAAUUAAAAGUGGCUCUAAAUACAACUAGCUAGUAGCCCACAGGCACAAACUCUGGGCACACUGCCUAUAGGUUAGCCCUGCUCUGCAAGAAGUAGCACCAGUUCAAUAAAAGUUGCUUUCUCUCACCA
This is a long non-coding RNA of Homo sapiens (human), 1300 nucleotides long. Ensembl annotates it as long intergenic non-protein coding RNA 1138. The record is from Ensembl. NCBI's taxonomy places the organism in Eukaryota, Metazoa, Chordata, Mammalia, Primates, Hominidae.